AUGCCACAUUACGUAAAAAUUUACGAUACAUGUAUAGGAUGCACUCAGUGUGUACGAGCUUGUCCAAAAGAUGUAUUAGAAAUGAUACCCUGGGAUGGAUGUAAAGCCAAGCAAAUUGCUUCCGCGCCGAGAACCGAAGAUUGUGUGGGUUGUACGAGAUGUGAAUCUGCCUGACCGACAGAUUUUUUAAGUGUCCCCGUUUAUUUAGGGCCUGAAACAACACAUAGCAUGGCUCUAUCUUAUUCAUACGUUACAAAAAACUUCACUCGAAUCGUCUGA
RNAcentral lists this ribosomal RNA (279 nucleotides) under Triticum aestivum (bread wheat). RNAcentral describes it as "partial small subunit ribosomal RNA". Lineage: Eukaryota; Viridiplantae; Streptophyta; Magnoliopsida; Poales; Poaceae. The record is from RNAcentral.